This 117-nucleotide ribosomal RNA is filed under the name Esox lucius (northern pike). Lineage: Eukaryota; Metazoa; Chordata; Actinopteri; Esociformes; Esocidae. The record is from RNAcentral.
GCUUACGGCCACACCCUCCCUGAGCACGCCGAUCUCGUCUGAUCUCGGAAGCUAAGCAGGGUCGGCCCGGUAGUACUUGGAUGGGAGACCGCCUGGGAAUACCAGGUGCUGUAAGCC